CCUACGGGUGGCAGCAGUGAGGAAUAUUGGUCAAUGGACGGAAGUCUGAACCAGCCAUGCCGCGUGCAGGAAGACGGCUCUACGAGUUGUAAACUGCUUUUGUACAAGGGUAAACCUGAAUACGUGUAUUCAGCUGAAAGUACUGUACGAAUAAGGAUCGGCUAACUCCGUGCCAGCAGCCGCGGUAAUACGGAGGAUCCAAGCGUUAUCCGGAUUUAUUGGGUUUAAGGGGUGCGUAGGCGGAUUGAUAAGUUAGUGGUGAAAUGUCCGGGCUUAACUCGGGAACUGCCUCUAAUACUGUUGGUCUAGAGAGUAGAUGCGGUAGGCGGAAUGUAUGGUGUAGCGGUGAAAUGCUUAGAGAUCAUACAGAACACCGAUUGCGAAGGCAGCUUACCAAUCUAUAUCUGACGUUGAGGCACGAAAGCGUGGGGAGCAAACAGGAUUAGAUACCCUUGUAGUC
RNAcentral lists this ribosomal RNA (460 nucleotides) under uncultured bacterium. RNAcentral's name for it is "partial 16S ribosomal RNA". It matches the Rfam family "Bacterial small subunit ribosomal RNA", at positions 338 to 795 of the family's 1533-position model. The record is from RNAcentral.